AACGAACGCUGGCGGCAGGCUUAACACAUGCAAGUCGAACGCUCCGCAAGGAGAGUGGCAGACGGGUGAGUAACACGUGGGAACGUACCCUUUACUACGGAACAACUCCGGGAAACUGGAGCUAAUACCGUAUGUGCCCUUUGGGGGAAAGAUUUAUCGGUAAAGGAUCGGCCCGCGUUGGAUUAGCUAGUUGGUGGGGUAAAGGCCUACCAAGGCGACGAUCCAUAGCUGGUCUGAGAGGAUGAUCAGCCACAUUGGGAUUGAGACACGGCCCAAACUCCUACGGGAGGCAGCAGUGGGGAAUAUUGGACAAUGGGCGCAAGCCUGAUCCAGCCAUGCCGCGUGUGUGAUGAAGGCCUUAGGGUUGUAAAGCACUUUCACCGGAGAAGAUAAUGACGGUAUCCGGAGAAGAAGCCCCGGCUAACUUCGUGCCAGCCGCCGCUGUAA
This 447-nucleotide ribosomal RNA is filed under the name uncultured bacterium. RNAcentral's name for it is "partial 16S ribosomal RNA". It matches the Rfam family "Bacterial small subunit ribosomal RNA", at positions 29 to 523 of the family's 1533-position model. The record is from RNAcentral.